Molecule: ribosomal RNA, 622 nt
Filed under: uncultured Campylobacterota bacterium
Lineage: Bacteria; Pseudomonadati; Campylobacterota
Description: bacterial SSU rRNA
Rfam family: Bacterial small subunit ribosomal RNA
Source: RNAcentral
CACAUGCAAGUCGAACGAGAACGGUAUAUUCUUCGGAAUAUAUGUCAGCUAAGUGGCGCACGGGUGAGUAACACGUAGCUACCUGCCUCAUAGACCGGGAUAACAGUUGGAAACGACUGCUAAUACUGGAUAUACCCUAAGGGGGAAAGAUUUUAUCGCUAUGAGAUGGGGCUGCGGUGUAUCAGUUAGUUGGUGAGGUAAAGGCUCACCAAGACUAUGACGCAUAACUGGUCUGAGAGGAUGGUCAGUCACACUGGAACUGAGACACGGUCCAGACUCCUACGGGAGGCAGCAGUGGGGAAUAUUGCACAAUGGAGGAAACUCUGAUGCAGCAAUACCGCGUGGAGGAAGAAGCAUUUCGGUGUGUAAACUCCUUUUAUAUUCGAAGAUAAUGACGGUAGAAUAUGAAUAAGCACCGGCUAACUCCGUGCCAGCAGCCGCGGUAAUACGGAGGGUGCAAGCGUUACUCGGAAUCACUGGGCGUAAAGAGCGCGUAGGCGGGUUGUUAAGUUGGAAGUGAAAGCCCACAGCUCAACUGUGGAACUGCUUCCAAAACUGGCAACCUANAAUUUGGGAGAGGUAAGUGGAAUUCCUGGUGUAGGGGUGAAAUCCGUAGAGAUCA